Molecule: ribosomal RNA, 423 nt
Filed under: uncultured low G+C Gram-positive bacterium
Lineage: Bacteria; Bacillati; Bacillota
Description: bacterial SSU rRNA
Rfam family: Bacterial small subunit ribosomal RNA
Source: RNAcentral
UUGGGUUAGUCCGCAACGAGCGCACCCUUGAUCUUAGUUGCCAGCAUUCAGUUGGGCACUCUAAGGUGACUGCCGGUGACAAACCGGAGGAAGGUGGGGAUGACGUCAAAUCAUCAUGCCCCUUAUGACCUGGGCUACACACGUGCUACAAUGGAUGGUACAAAGGGCUGCGAGACCGCGAGGUUUAGCCAAUCCCAUAAAACCAUUCUCAGUUCGGAUUGCAGGCUGCAACUCGCCUGCAUGAAGCUGGAAUCGCUAGUAAUCGCGGAUCAGCAUGCCGCGGUGAAUACGUUCCCGGGCCUUGUACACACCGCCCGUCACACCACGAGAGUUUGCAACACCCGAAGUCGGAGGGGUAACCGCAAGGAGCCAGCCGCCUAAGGUGGGGUAGAUGAUUGGGGUGAAGUCGUAACAAGGUAACCA